AUCGUAGUGGACAAAUUGGUAAAGUCACUACCCUUUCAAGGUAGAUCUCUGGGGGUUCAAGUCCCCUCUACGAUGCCA
This 78-nucleotide transfer RNA is filed under the name Proteus mirabilis. RNAcentral describes it as "tRNA-Glu". It matches the Rfam family "tRNA". From Rfam's summary of the family: Transfer RNA (tRNA) molecules are approximately 80 nucleotides in length. Lineage: Bacteria; Pseudomonadati; Pseudomonadota; Gammaproteobacteria; Enterobacterales; Morganellaceae. RNAcentral also lists the same sequence under 1 other name. The record is from RNAcentral.